Molecule: ribosomal RNA, 496 nt
Filed under: uncultured bacterium
Lineage: Bacteria
Description: partial 16S ribosomal RNA
Rfam family: Bacterial small subunit ribosomal RNA
Source: RNAcentral
GAUGAACGCUGGCGGCGUGCCUAAUACAUGCAAGUCGAGCGAACAGACGAGGAGCUUGCUCCUCUGACGUUAGCGGCGGACGGGUGAGUAACACGUGGAUAACCUACCUAUAAGACUGGGAUAACUUCGGGAAACCGGAGCAAUACCGGAUAAUAUAUUGAACCGCAUGGUUCAAUAGUGAAAGACGGUUUUGCUGUCACUUAUAGAUGGAUCCGCGCCGCAUUAGCUAGUUGGUAAGGUAACGGCUUACCAAGGCAACGAUGCGUAGCCGACCUGAGAGGGUGAUCGGCCACACUGGAACUGAGACACGGUCCAGACUCCUACGGGAGGCAGCAGUAGGGAAUCUUCCGCAAUGGGCGAAAGCUUGACGGAGCAACGCCGCGUGAGUGAUGAAGGUCUUCGGAUCGUAAAACUCUGUUAUUAGGGAAGAACAAAUGUGUAAGUAACUAUGCACGUCUUGACGGUACCUAAUCAGAAAGCCACGGCUAACUACGUG